AUUGAACGCUGGCGGCAGGCCUAACACAUGCAAGUCGAACGGUAACAGGAAACAGCUUGCUGUUUCGCUGACGAGUGGCGGACGGGUGAGUAAUGUCUGGGAAACUGCCUGAUGGAGGGGGAUAACUACUGGAAACGGUAGCUAAUACCGCAUAACGUCGCAAGACCAGAGAGGGGGACCUGCGGGCCUCUUGCCAUCGGAUGUGCCCAGAUGGGAUUAGCUAGUAGGUGGGGGAACGGCUCACCUAGGCGACGAUCCCUAGCUGGUCUGAGAGGAUGACCAGCCACACUGGAACUGAGACACGGUCCAGACUCCUACGGGAGGCAGCAGUGGGGAAUAUUGCACAAUGGGCGCAAGCCUGAUGCAGCCAUGCCGCGUGUAUGAAGAAGGCCUUCGGGUUGUAAAGUACUUUCAGCGGGGAGGAAGGGAGUAAAGUUAAUACCUUUGCUCAUUGACGUUACCCGCAGAAGAAGCACCGGCUAACUCCGUGCCAGCAGCCGCAGUAA
RNAcentral lists this ribosomal RNA (506 nucleotides) under uncultured bacterium. RNAcentral's name for it is "partial 16S ribosomal RNA". It matches the Rfam family "Bacterial small subunit ribosomal RNA", at positions 30 to 523 of the family's 1533-position model. The record is from RNAcentral.